GAUGAACGCUAGCUACAGGCUUAACACAUGCAAGUCGAGGGGAAACGAUAGAGAAAGCUUGCUUUUUCUAGGCGUCGACCGGCGCACGGGUGAGUAACGCGUAUCCAACCUGCCCACCACUUGGGGAUAACCUUGCGAAAGUAAGACUAAUACCCAAUGACGUCUCUAGAAGACAUCUGAAAGAGAUUAAAGAUUUAUCGGUGAUGGAUGGGGAUGCGUCUGAUUAGCUUGUUGGCGGGGUAACGGCCCACCAAGGCGACGAUCAGUAGGGGUUCUGAGAGGAAGGCCCCCCACAUUGGAACUGAGACACGGUCCAGACUCCUACGGGAGGCAGCAGUGGGGAAUAUUGCACAAUGGGCGCAAGCCUGAUGCAGCCAUGCCGCGUGUAUGAAGAAGGCCUUCGGGUUGUAAAGUACUUUCA
Molecule: ribosomal RNA, 421 nt
Filed under: uncultured bacterium
Lineage: Bacteria
Description: bacterial SSU rRNA
Rfam family: Bacterial small subunit ribosomal RNA
Source: RNAcentral